AGCCCAUGGUGAGGGCACCUUCUCAAGAGGUCCUUGUAUCUCUCACAUGCAUCAUAGAGUGUUUCUAGAUCCAUCUGCACAAAAGAAGAGAUAUCAUUCUUAAUUUGGUU
RNAcentral lists this small nucleolar RNA (110 nucleotides) under Gossypium barbadense (sea-island cotton). Its description in RNAcentral is "Plant small nucleolar RNA R71". It matches the Rfam family "Plant small nucleolar RNA R71". From Rfam's summary of the family: R71 is a member of the C/D box family of snoRNAs containing the C (UGAUGA) and D (CUGA) box motifs. RNAcentral also lists the same sequence under 2 other names. Lineage: Eukaryota; Viridiplantae; Streptophyta; Magnoliopsida; Malvales; Malvaceae. The record is from Rfam by way of RNAcentral.